GGUCCCUCUCACAGAAAGCAGCAGCUUCAGACGGAGCUGUCGCCUCGUCACACCCCCGGGGAUUGUGAUCGAGCGGUGGCCGGAGCAGCGUCACCGAGCCGCCGACAGCAACAGGCUCCUAUCCAUCCUGCGGCUGGCGAGCCCGAUCCAGUUCGUGGUUUGGAUCGGCCAGGCUCCUGGAUUCCAGUCCGGGACUUUCUCUUGCCCUCCACAAGGUUGAAGUUGAGGCGCUGUUUGCUGCACACUCUCUGCGAGUAGGUAACAAUUUCAGGUGCAAUUUUCCGGGUUCCCGUCAAGUCUACUACGUCCUUUUUUUUUAAACAGCUUCAAUGUGUUUAAUUGAAUACGCAAACUUAAGGGGAGGGCUGAGAGAGAGAGAGAGAGAAUGAUACGGUGGAACUUGCUUUCUACUGUUUUCGUGUGAAUUUUGCCGUCAACGAUUGACGUGAGAUUACAACACUUCUCAAUUUUCCCAUUGCACAGUGGAGCUACGCCUCCGAUCGGCUGUUUCAUUCAUUACAACCCGAGCAACUGCCCCUUCCUUUCACCAGCACUCAAGGUUCAAGACACAAAAGGAUAGUCAACUGGGGAAAUGUUGGAAAACAAAUCAGUUGUAAGCACACAAUCCAAGGCAACUCUCUAGUAAAAUGCCGCAAAUGUGCUAAGCUGAUCAAGGGACAUGGAACUAUCAGAAUCUAUUUCAUACAGAGGCUCUGGAAUAAGCUGGAAAGUGAUUCUGGAUGCCAUUAUCUUACCUAUGCGUGUGGUUGAACUUCUGAACAAGACGCCCUCCAUCUGCAAGCCGUAUCUGGAUACUAGUGGUUGGUUGCAAUUCAUUUACAUUAACAGAAGAACUUGCCUUUGCUUCAUUUUCUGCUUGUUGUGCUGGAGAAGUUGUAGUGACUAGCUGAGGUGUGGCACUGUGAACAGAAAACAAAAAUAGGGUUGGUUUGCCUAAAUUGUACUCAAAGCCUUUUAACAGUUGUAACAUAGUAGGUAACAGAAGCGGCAGAGGUCUAUGGAACAGACAAUAAUCAGCUGUAAAUGAAUAUGGUAUAAAAUACUUAAUGCAAAACAAUUUUAUGCAUCUUUUUAAUCUCGAAGUGUGAUCAUGGUCCCUGAAAAAUAAAGCAAAGUAAAGAAUGUUCAAAUGCAGACAUAAUCUCUUAGAGCAAAUCUAUACAGAUGUCAGAUACAUUUUCAAUAACGUGGUUGAUCUCAAGGCUAUGUGCCAGUUGAAACUAAGUCAAGACGACAGACUCAGAAUCAUGAAUAAUCCAUGGUCAAAAAAACAACAGCAGCCACAUUAAGAAAGAUCCGAAUGAGAGCAGUGGGCAUAUAUAGAGACACAAUGAAAUACGGUAAGACAAAAAAAAUUAUAUUUGCCUUAA
This is a long non-coding RNA of Stegostoma tigrinum, 1391 nucleotides long. RefSeq lists it as uncharacterized. The transcript has 3 exons. NCBI's taxonomy places the organism in Eukaryota, Metazoa, Chordata, Chondrichthyes, Orectolobiformes, Stegostomatidae. The record is from RefSeq and is a predicted model, not a curated record.